GACGAACGCUGGCGGCGUGCCUAAUACAUGCAAGUGGGACGCAAGGACACACACUGUGCUUGCACACCGUGUUUUCUUGAGUCGCGAACGGGUGAGUAACGCGUAGGUAACCUGCCUAUUAGCGGGGGAUAACUAUUGGAAACGAUAGCUAAUACCGCAUAAUAUUAAUUAUUGCAUGAUAAUUGAUUGAAAGAUGCAAGCGCAUCACUAGUAGAUGGACCUGCGUUGUAUUAGCUAGUUGGUAAGGUAAGAGCUUACCAAGGCGACGAUACAUAGCCGACCGGAGAGGGUGAUCGGCCACACUGGGACUGAGACACGGCCCAGACUUCUACGGGAGGCAGCAGUAGGGAAUCUUCGGCAAUGGACGAAAGUCUGACCGAGCAACGCCGCGGGAGUGAAGAAGGUUUUCGGAUCGGAAAGCUCUGUUGUAAGUCAAGAACGUGUGUGAGGGUGGAAAGUUCACACAGUGACGGUAGCUUACCAGAAAGGGACGGCUAACUACGUG
This 505-nucleotide ribosomal RNA is filed under the name uncultured bacterium. Its description in RNAcentral is "partial 16S ribosomal RNA". It matches the Rfam family "Bacterial small subunit ribosomal RNA", at positions 28 to 507 of the family's 1533-position model. The record is from RNAcentral.